AAGUUUCAGCUUACAGCCUGAAUUAGGCUAACGGCUGGUGAUUUUUUAUCACCAGCCU
Molecule: small RNA, 58 nt
Filed under: Candidatus Gullanella endobia
Lineage: Bacteria; Pseudomonadati; Pseudomonadota; Gammaproteobacteria; Enterobacterales; Enterobacteriaceae
Description: Pseudomonas sRNA P26
Rfam family: Pseudomonas sRNA P26
About the family: P26 is conserved across many Gammaproteobacteria species and appears to be consistently located between the DNA directed RNA polymerase (beta subunit) and 50S ribosomal protein L7/L12 genes.
Source: Rfam by way of RNAcentral